Molecule: ribosomal RNA, 804 nt
Filed under: actinobacterium A4-1
Lineage: Bacteria; Bacillati; Actinomycetota; Actinomycetes
Description: bacterial SSU rRNA
Rfam family: Bacterial small subunit ribosomal RNA
Source: RNAcentral
ACGAUGAACCACUUCGGUGGGGAUUAGUGGCGAACGGGUGAGUAACACGUGGGCAAUCUGCCCUUCACUCUGGGACAAGCCCUGGAAACGGGGUCUAAUACCGGAUACCACCUUCACUGGCAUCUGUGAAGGUUGAAAGCUCCGGCGGUGAAGGAUGAGCCCGCGGCCUAUCAGCUUGUUGGUGAGGUAAUGGCUCACCAAGGCGACGACGGGUAGCCGGCCUGAGAGGGCGACCGGCCACACUGGGACUGAGACACGGCCCAGACUCCUACGGGAGGCAGCAGUGGGGAAUAUUGCACAAUGGGCGAAAGCCUGAUGCAGCGACGCCGCGUGAGGGAUGACGGCCUUCGGGUUGUAAACCUCUUUCAGCAGGGAAGAAGCGAAAGUGACGGUACCUGCAGAAGAAGCGCCGGCUAACUACGUGCCAGCAGCCGCGGUAAUACGUAGGGCGCAAGCGUUGUCCGGAAUUAUUGGGCGUAAAGAGCUCGUAGGCGGCUUGUCACGUCGGGUGUGAAAGCCCGGGGCUUAACCCCGGGUCUGCAUUCGAUACGGGCUAGCUAGAGUGUGGUAGGGGAGAUCGGAAUUCCUGGUGUAGCGGUGAAAUGCGCAGAUAUCAGGAGGAACACCGGUGGCGAAGGCGGAUCUCUGGGCCAUUACUGACGCUGAGGAGCGAAAGCGUGGGGAGCGAACAGGAUUAGAUACCCUGGUAGUCCACGCCGUAAACGGUGGGAACUAGGUGUUGGCGACAUUCCACGUCGUCGGUGCCGCAGCUAACGCAUUAAGUUCCCCGCCUGGGGAGUACGG